GUCGCAUUAGUAUAGUGGUUAGUACUCCACGUUGUGGUCCGAUCCGCGCAAGCGAAUCAAGCUCCGUGGUAACGCAGGCUCGAAUCCUGCAUGCGACA
Non-coding RNA from Athelia sp. TMB, 98 nucleotides. Lineage: Eukaryota; Fungi; Basidiomycota; Agaricomycetes; Atheliales; Atheliaceae. The record is from the annotation of a GenBank genome assembly.